This 459-nucleotide ribosomal RNA is filed under the name uncultured bacterium. Its description in RNAcentral is "partial 16S ribosomal RNA". It matches the Rfam family "Bacterial small subunit ribosomal RNA", at positions 338 to 795 of the family's 1533-position model. The record is from RNAcentral.
CCUACGGGAGGCAGCAGUGAGGAAUAUUGGUCAAUGGGCGGGAGCCUGAACCAGCCAAGCCGCGUGAGGGAAGAAGGUACAGCGUAUUGUAAACCUCUUUUGUCAGGGAACAAAGGCGGGGACGAGUCCCCGGAGGAGGGUAUCUGAAGAAAAAGCAUCGGCUAACUCCGUGCCAGCAGCCGCGGUAAUACGGAGGAUGCGAGCGUUAUCCGGAUUUAUUGGGUUUAAAGGGUGCGCAGGCGGCAUGUUAAGUCAGCGGUAAAAGCCCGGGGCUAAACCCCUGCGAGCCGUUGAAACUGGCGGGCUGGAGUUGGAGAGAAGUACGCGGAAUGCGCGGUGUAGCGGUGAAAUGCUUAGAUAUCGCGCAGAACCCCGAUUGCGAAGGCAGCGUACCGGCUCCACACUGACGCUGAUGCACGAAAGCGUGGGUAUCGAACAGGAUUAGAUACCCUUGUAGUC